GAAACGCCCGGUCCCAUUCCGAACCCGGAAGCUAAGCCUGCCCGCGCUGAUGGUACUGCACUCGGGAGGGUGUGGGAGAGUAAGUUACCGCCGACA
RNAcentral lists this ribosomal RNA (96 nucleotides) under Corynebacterium pollutisoli. RNAcentral also lists the same sequence under 1 other name. The record is from RNAcentral. Lineage: Bacteria; Bacillati; Actinomycetota; Actinomycetes; Mycobacteriales; Corynebacteriaceae.